This 647-nucleotide ribosomal RNA is filed under the name Salmonella enterica. RNAcentral describes it as "partial 23S ribosomal RNA". It matches the Rfam family "Bacterial large subunit ribosomal RNA", at positions 566 to 1190 of the family's 2925-position model. The record is from RNAcentral. Lineage: Bacteria; Pseudomonadati; Pseudomonadota; Gammaproteobacteria; Enterobacterales; Enterobacteriaceae. RNAcentral also lists the same sequence under 1 other name.
UCGUUUGCGACGCCCAACACACAAAACAAGCGGUGAGUGCUUUGGGGUGGGGUGACUGCGUACCUUUUGUAUAAUGGGUCAGCGACUUAUAUUCUGUAGCAAGGUUAACCGAAUAGGGGAGCCGGAGGGAAACCGAGUCUUAAUUGGGCGUUAAGUUGCAGGGUAUAGACCCGAAACCCGGUGAUCUAGCCAUGGGCAGGUUGAAGGUUGGGUAACACUAACUGGAGGACCGAACCGACUAAUGUUGAAAAAUUAGCGGAUGACCUGUGGCUGGGGGUGAAAGGCCAAUCAAACCGGGAGAUAGCUGGUUCUCCCCGAAAGCUAUUUAGGUAGCGCCUCGUGAAUUCAUCUCCGGGGGUAGAGCACUGUUUCGGCUAGGGGGCCAUCCCGGCUUACCAACCCGAUGCAAACUGCGAAUACCGGAGAAUGUUAUCACGGGAGACACACGGCGGGUGCUAACGUCCGUCGUGAAGAGGGAAACAACCCAGACCGCCAGCUAAGGUCCCAAAGUCAUGGUUAAGUGGGAAACGAUGUGGGAAGGCCCAGACAGCCAGGAUGUUGGCUUAGAAGCAGCCAUCAUUUAAAGAAAGCGUAAUAGCUCACUGGUCGAGUCGGCCUGCGCGGAAGAUGUAACGGGGCUAAACCAU